GCGUAAGCGCGCGCAGGCGGUUUCUUAAGUCUGAUGUGAAAGCCCACGGCUCAACCGUGGAGGGUCAUUGGAAACUGGGGAACUUGAGUGCAGAAGAGAAAAGCGGAAUUCCACGUGUAGCGGUGAAAUGCGUAGAGAUGUGGAGGAACACCAGUGGCGAAGGCGGCUUUUUGGUCUGUAACUGACGCUGAGGCGCGAAAGCGUGGGGAGCAAACAGGAUUAUAUACCCUGGUAGUCCACGCCGUAAACGAUGAGUGCUAAGUGUUAGAGGGUUUCCGCCCUUUAGUGCUGCAGCUAACGCAUUAAGCACUCCGCCUGGGGAGUACGGUCGCAAGACUGAAACUCAAAGGAAUUGACGGGGGCCCGCACAAGCGGUGGAGCAUGUGGUUUAAUUCAAAGCAACGCGAAGAACCUUACCAGGUCUUGACAUCCUCUGACGGCUCUAGAGAUAGAACGUUCCCCUUCGUGGGACAGAGUGACAGGUGGUGCAUGGUUGUCGUCAGCUCGUGUCGUGAG
Molecule: ribosomal RNA, 516 nt
Filed under: Priestia megaterium
Lineage: Bacteria; Bacillati; Bacillota; Bacilli; Caryophanales; Bacillaceae
Description: bacterial SSU rRNA
Rfam family: Bacterial small subunit ribosomal RNA
Source: RNAcentral